GAUGAACGCUGGCGGCGUGCCUAAUACAUGCAAGUCGAGCGGACGGACGAGGAGCUUGCUGCUCUGAUGUUAGCGACGGGCGGGUGAGUAACACGUGGAUAACCUACCUAUAAGACUGAGAUAACUUCGGGAAACCGUAGCUCAUACCGGAUGAUAUUUUGAACGGGAUGGUUCAAAAGUGAUAGCCGGUUUUGCUGUCACUUAUAGCUGGAUGCGCGUUGCUUUGGUUAGUUGGUAAGGUAACGGCUUACUGUGGCCACGAUGCAUAGCCGAACUGAGAGGGGGAUCGGCCACACAGGAGCUGAGCCACGGUCCUGACUCCGACGGGAGGCAGCGGCACGGAAUCGUCCGCGAUGGGCGAAAGCCUGACCGAGCAACGCCGCGUGAAUGAAGAGGGUCUGCGGAUCGUAAAACUCUGUUAGUAGGGAAGAACAUAUGUGUAAGUAACUGUGCACAUCUUGACGGUACCUAAUCAGAAAGCCACGGCUAACUACGUG
This 497-nucleotide ribosomal RNA is filed under the name uncultured bacterium. Its description in RNAcentral is "partial 16S ribosomal RNA". It matches the Rfam family "Bacterial small subunit ribosomal RNA", at positions 28 to 507 of the family's 1533-position model. The record is from RNAcentral.